AAGUCGUAACAAGGUAACCGUAGGUGAACCUGCGGUUGGAUCAUUAUUGAAUACUUUUAUUUAAUUGGGGGAAUGGUUUCCAUGAAACCAUUCCUCAAUUAAACACACACCUUGUGCACUGUACGAGACUAAUUACAAGUCUAUUUGGUGGGCUGGCCCCGCUCCCUUCUUAAUUGAAGGGAGUGUGAGUGGGUCCUUGUCGCCUUGCGCGGACCACCAAUGGGCAACUUGUAAUUUACAAAACUACAUACAAACACACACUCAACUCCCAUCUUAAUUAAUCAAGUGUCAUUGUGACACUGAACAAAUUGAAAACACAACUUUUGACAACGGAUCUCUUGGCUCUC
Molecule: unclassified non-coding RNA, 347 nt
Filed under: fungal sp.
Lineage: Eukaryota; Fungi
Description: partial internal transcribed spacer region
Rfam family: Eukaryotic small subunit ribosomal RNA (bases 1-46)
Source: RNAcentral